CUACAUUCCUUUACAGGAUUUACAGGAUUAUCCCAGUUUACUGGUUAAUUAUUGUGGUAUUUCAAUACUAAUCCUGCUAUAACUAUUUCUGGAACAUUGGAGUAGUCCUGCUCUUGGAAUCACUGAGCGUAUAAUUAAUUCCAUGGUGUGGUGUGAAGAUUUCCUGCAAGAAGCCUCUCUGAGCUACGUAGCUAUGGUCCAGGAGGAAAAAGAGCCUUGCAAGAAUAAAGUAAUGGAUGAGAUACUUAAUUCUAUUUCUGUAGAAGGUAAUGAUAAUUAUUAUGGAAAGAACUUGUACUAUACUGAAGGAGAUGAGGGUUUUUUAAUUAAAAGAGAAAAAAAGGCAGAUCCUGAAUCCUGCAAGGUGAGGAGGAUAAGGAUGAGUCUGUGGUGUAAGGCUCACAGGGGAAGCUGACAAUACAGUAGAUCAUACUGUGAGCAUGCAGUACAUACUUCCUUCAUUUCUGGCUUUUGUGUUUGUUUGUUUUAUUUUUUAAUGCUGAAAAUUUUCAAAUGAUUUUUCAAAUGGUUGUCUACUGUGCAAAACUUGCUUAUAUCUCAGUCAUUCAAAGCAGCAACCCAAUUUAUGCCUUCAGCUUUGAGCUUUGACUGCAGGCUGUGAUGGACAGAAUAAUGGUGGUAAGCCUUGUUUCUGAAGUAACCUCUAGUCCUCAACUGGUAAAACAGAAGCAAGAAUAUAUACCAAAGAAUCUUAAGUGCUGUUUUCAUGACAUUAAGCUCAAGUAGAACUAUCUUGAAAACUGCAAAAAAUAAUGGCCACAUGCUGCACAAGAAUGUGCUUAGAAGCGCAGUUGCUUUGUACCAAAAAUUGCCCUGAGAGGUUUGCAAAGAUAAUUAGCAUUAGCCUAAUUGCCUUACUGAAGUCGAGGGGUAAAGCAGAGUUGGGCUAUGUGCAGCUUAUCACACGAAAGAACUUGUAGUGAUACAGGAAUGUUGUUUUCCACUAUAAAAGGUUUAUACUGGACUUUGAGAUUCUGACAAUGAUUGUACUCUGUAUCAGUACAGCUUAAGCGCUGCAACCCAAUCCCUGCGAAUUUCGCCAGUAAAACCGACAUUGUGUGAGGAAAUUGUGCAGCUCAUCGUGUCUCUAGGCUAAUGUCUAUUGCUUCUCUACUGCAAAUUUUCAGAGAGUGAUUGGUGUCCAACAAAUUUGCUUUGCAGAAAAAGGGGGGAAAAUCAAGUGAUGAUGAAGGACCCAGGUGUGUUCUAAACCUUUGCUUUAGCGACCUCAAAUAUACUUUAAUUCUCCAAACAGAGAAGCAAAGAAGGACAUAAAGAAUGGCAGAGCAAAGAUGGGUUUGGGGAAUACUGGGGGACUUUGAAGUGAGAAAUUCCCAAAGUUCUGUGAGUGUGAUCUUUAUGUGGGAAAGAUUUAGAGUUUCUGAGAGAGACUUGGGGGUAGAACUGGUGAAGGGGAGAAGCUGGUACAUAGCAAAUGGACUUCCACAUGGGCAUCCUUCCACAAGAGGCAGGAGGGGAAGGUAAGGGAAUCUUGGUGGGGAGAGGUAGAAAAAAGGUUUGUUACAGGAGAGGACUGAGGCAUAAGCAAGGCUUUUUCUGGGAAAGAGAGUGGGAGCAAAUUCUCUCUCUAGCUUGGGGGACCAAAAAUGAUUUUGGCAUGAAGUGCAUGACCACAGGGACUCUUGAUUUUGGAGGCUGAAUUUUGAAACAGGAGUCUGGUCUGGUCAUCCUGCUCCACUGCUGAGGACACAACUGGAGUGGUAUACCACAGUUCUGGGUUCUGUGGCCCAAGAGACAAAAAGCCAUAAUGAAACAAGUCCAGUGAAGGUCCAUGGGUAUGAAUCAGGGCUUGGAGCACCUGUCAUACAAGGAGAGGCUGAGAGCUGGAGCUGUUUAACCUGGGGAAAAGGAGGCUCAAGGGUAACUUAUCAAGUUUUUUAUAAACAUUUGAUGGGAGAAGGAAAUAUGGAGGCAGAUUCUUUCCAGUGGCUUGAAGGACAAGAAAACAAGACAAGGGGAAAGGGCUGAGAAAUGAAAUAGAGAAAAUUGCAUUUGACUGUAAGAAUAGACUGUUUUGCUUUUAAAUUGUAAUCAAACACUGAAAUAAAUCACUCAGAGGUUGUAGAGUCUCUGUCCUU
Molecule: long non-coding RNA, 2120 nt
Organism: Cyanistes caeruleus (blue tit)
Lineage: Eukaryota; Metazoa; Chordata; Aves; Passeriformes; Paridae
Source: Ensembl